RNAcentral lists this ribosomal RNA (460 nucleotides) under uncultured bacterium. Its description in RNAcentral is "partial 16S ribosomal RNA". It matches the Rfam family "Bacterial small subunit ribosomal RNA", at positions 338 to 795 of the family's 1533-position model. The record is from RNAcentral.
CCUACGGGAGGCAGCAGUGAGGAAUAUUGGUCAAUGGGCGCGAGCCUGAACCAGCCAAGUAGCGUGAAGGAUGACUGCCCUACGGGUUGUAAACUUCUUUUAUAAAGGAAUAAAGUGAGGCACGUGUGCCUUUUUGUAUGUACUUUAUGAAUAAGGAUCGGCUAACUCCGUGCCAGCAGCCGCGGUAAUACGGAGGAUCCGAGCGUUAUCCGGAUUUAUUGGGUUUAAAGGGAGCGUAGAUGGGUUGUUAAGUCAGUUGUGAAAGUUUGCGGCUCAACCGUAAAAUUGCAAUUGAUACUGGCAGUCUUGAGUACCGGAGAGGUCAUCGGAAUUCCUUGUGUAGCGGUGAAAUGCGUAGAUAUAAGGAAGAACACCAGUGGCGAAGGCGGAUGACUGGACGGCAACUGACGGUGAGGCGCGAAAGCGUGGGGAGCAAACAGGAUUAGAUACCCCUGUAGUC